This 1036-nucleotide long non-coding RNA is filed under the name Parus major (Great Tit). RNAcentral describes it as "lncRNA (ENSPMJG00000013543.1)". Lineage: Eukaryota; Metazoa; Chordata; Aves; Passeriformes; Paridae. The record is from RNAcentral.
UUGUGACUUUAGACAGAUGCUGAAACCCAGUAUCCUAGAUCUUGACAUUGAUAAAAACAGGGCCAGGAGACCUUCUCCUGUUUUAAAGCCUUUAUUUGGAAUCAGCUUUGGGUGGGGGCCCGACGGGUCGCGCACACACCGCCAGCGCUCCCUAAAGUGACUCAGAGGAGGAGGAAUACGGCUCUGCCUACGGGGUGCAAUGUAGGCCGAGCCGGGGCUCCGUCCUCGGGGGUACACCCGGAGUCCGCUUUUGGCUCGAAAGUCCAGGGGUGUCUCCUCUAGCGAGUCUCUUUCCGGUCACGGCGAGGAAAGCGGGGUUGGAGGGUAGUGUCCCUUGGUCCCGACCUUCAGGCAUCGCUCUUAGUUUCUUUAUUCGGUGUUCCGAUGUCCAGUAGAUUGAGUUUUUUGUCCGAGGUGGUGUUUUUCGGCAGCCGAUUUGCAUAACUCCCAAUCGCCAUUUCGGGAGGUCUCCCUUCCCCGCCGCCGCUUCGGGAAGGCUCCGGUCGCCAUGUUGGAAAUCCCCUAACUUCAGUUGUCGUGCCGGGACAUCCCCGACCCCAGGCGCGGCAGGACAGGAGCAACGAGGGAACAGCCCGGCACCGGGUCAGAACUGGAACGCACCGGGUCAGAACUGGAAUGCCUGGAACAGGAGCUGAAGGGAAACACAUGCAAAGACCCGGCCGGCGGCCCCAGUCGCCGGGGUGUCUCCGAUCCUGGGCGCGGCCGGACCGGAGGAACGAGGGAACAGCUCGGCACCGGGUCAGAACUGGAACGCCUGGAACAGAGGCUGAACAGAACACUUGCAAAACCUGGCAAGAACCUGGUAAGCCCUGGCCACCAGGCACCCCCGGCCCCGGGCGCCCCCGGCCAGGAGUAGCGGGGGGGGGGGAAAGCAGCUCGGCACGGGCUCUGAACCGGAACGCAUGGAACAGAGGCUGUAGAGAACUGGAGAGAACCUUUGUACAACAUGGACUGCAGGAAUCUGCUAAUUGGGUGAGGUUUUCCAAAGCCAGUGGAAGCAGUCAGGAAGUUUCAG